RNAcentral lists this ribosomal RNA (444 nucleotides) under uncultured bacterium. Its description in RNAcentral is "partial 16S ribosomal RNA". It matches the Rfam family "Bacterial small subunit ribosomal RNA", at positions 338 to 795 of the family's 1533-position model. The record is from RNAcentral.
CCUACGGGAGGCAGCAGUGGGGAAUAUUGGGCAAUGGACGAAACUCUGACCCAGCAAUGCCGCGUGAAUGAAGAAGGCCUUCGGAUUGUAAAGUUCUUUAGUCAGGGACGAAUAAAAUGACGGUACCUGAAGAAUAAGCUCCGGCUAACUACGUGCCAGCAGCCGCGGUAAUACGUAGGGAGCAAGCGUUGUUCGGAAUGACUGGGCGUAAAGGGUGAUUAGGCGGUUAUACAAGUUAGAUGUGAAAUACCCAGGGCUUAACUCGGGUGCUGCAUCUAAAAUUGUGAGACUUGAGUGCAGUAGAGGUAAGUGGAAGUCCUGGUGUAGCGGUGAAAUGCGUAGAUAGAAGGAGGAACACCAGUGGCGAAGGCGGCUAACUGGACUGCAACUGACGCUGAGGCACGAAAGUGUGGGGAGCAAACAGGAUUAGAUACCCGAGUAGUC